GACGAACGCUGGCGGCGUGCUUAACACAUGCAAGUCGAACGGAAAGGCCCCUUCGGGGGUACUCGAGUGGCGAACAGGUGAGUAACACGUGAGUAACCUGCCCUUGACUUCGGGAUAACUUCAGGAAACUGGGGCUAAUACCGGAUAGGAAUCCUUGCUGCAUGGUGGGGGUUGGAAAGCUUCGGCGGUUUUGGAUGGACUCGCGGCUUAUCAGCUUGUUGGUGGGGUAGUGGCUUACCAAGGCUUUGACGGGUAGCCGGCCUGAGAGGGCGACCGGCCACAUUGGGACUGAGAUACGGCCCAGACUCCUACGGGAGGCAGCAGUGGGGAAUAUUGCACAAUGGGCGGAAGCCUGAUGCAGCAACGCCGCGUGCGGGAUGACGGACUUCGGGUUGUAAACCGCUUUCAGCAGGGGCGAAGCUUGUGGUGACGGUACCUGCAGAAGAAGCACCGGCUAACUACGUG
Molecule: ribosomal RNA, 465 nt
Filed under: uncultured bacterium
Lineage: Bacteria
Description: partial 16S ribosomal RNA
Rfam family: Bacterial small subunit ribosomal RNA
Source: RNAcentral